GACGAACGCUGGCUGCGUGCUUAACACAUGCAAGUCGAACGCUGAAGCUCUGGUGCUUGCACCGGGGUGGAUGAGUGGCGAACGGGUGAGUAACACGUGAGUAACCUGCCCCUGACUUCGGGAUAAGCCCGGGAAACUGGGUCUAAUACCGGAUAUGACCGUUCCUCGCAUGAGGGAUGGUGGAAAGUUUUUUCGGUUGGGGAUGGGCUCGCGGCCUAUCAGCUAGAUGGUGGGGUAAUGGCCCACCAUGGCGACGACGGGUAGCCGGCCUGAGAGGGCGACCGGCCACACUGGGACUGAGACACGGCCCAGACUCCUACGGGAGGCAGCAGUGGGGAAUAUUGCACAAUGGGGGAAACCCUGAUGCAGCGACGCAGCGUGCGGGAUGACGGCCUUCGGGUUGUAAACCGCUUUCAGCAGGGAAGAAGCCACCUUUGGUGGUGACGGUACCUGCAGAAGAAGUACCGGUCUAA
This 473-nucleotide ribosomal RNA is filed under the name Brevibacterium picturae. RNAcentral describes it as "bacterial SSU rRNA". It matches the Rfam family "Bacterial small subunit ribosomal RNA", at positions 28 to 501 of the family's 1533-position model. The record is from RNAcentral. Lineage: Bacteria; Bacillati; Actinomycetota; Actinomycetes; Micrococcales; Brevibacteriaceae.